AUGACAGAGUCGCUGCUUCUUCCUCUAGUGCGCGGCGUGGCCGGCAAGGCUGCAGACGCACUUGUUGAGACCGUGAGCCGCAUGUGUGGCCUCGACGAUGACCGCCGAACGCUGGAGCGCCAUCUGCUAGCCGUUGAGUGCAAGUUGGCGAAUGCCGAGGAGAGGAGUGAGACAAACAGGUAUGUCAAGAGCUGGAUGAAGGAGCUCAAGUCUAUCGCCUACGAGGCCGACGACGUGCUUGACGACUUCCGGUAUGAGGCGCUGCGCCGCCAGUCUAAGAUUGCCAAGUCCACUACCCACAAGGUACUCGGCUACAUCACGCGCCACAGCCCGUUGCUCUUUCGUUUUGAAAUGAGCAGGAAACUCAAGAACGUCCUCAAGAAGAUCAAUAAGUUGGUUAAGGAGAUGAACACAUUUGACUUGGAGAGUUCUGUCCGUAAGGAGCGGCAACAUCCUUGGAGGCAAACACACUCAAAACUGGAUGACACUAAGGAAAUCUUUGGAAGAGAUGAUGAUAAGAAGGUGGUGGUGAAGUUGCUGCUGAACCAGCAAGAUCAGCGGAAUGUGCAGGUGCUCCCCAUAUUUGGGAUGGGAGGUCUUGGCAAGACAACUCUUGCUAAGAUGGUGUAUAAUGACCAACAGAUCCAGGAACAUUUUCAGUUAAAGAUGUGGCACAGCGUGUCCGACAACUUUAAUGUCGUUGCUCUUUUGAAAUCCAUCAUUGAGUUGGCUGGAAAUAAAAGAUGUGACAUGGCUGACACCAUUGAGCUGUUGCGAAAGCAACUUGAGGAAGUCAUUGGCCAAAACAGGUUUAUGCUCAUGCUUGAUGAUGUGUGGAAUGAGAACGAGAGGAUGUGGGAGGAUGAUCUGAAGCCUCUUUUGUGUUCUGUUGGUGGACCAGGAAGCAUAAUAGUAGUCACAACUCGAAGCCAUAAAGUGGCCUCUAUAAUGCAGACCCUUCGACCCCUCAAGCUAGAAUGUCUGAGUGAACAAGAUUCAUGGGAAUUGUUUGCACAUAAAGCAUUUAGCAAUGGUGUAGAGGAGCAAGCAGAGUUAGCCCGCAUCGGAAGGCGUAUUGUCAAUAAAUGCGGGGGGUUGCCUCUUGCUCUCAAGACAAUGGGUGGAUUGCUGAGUUCAAAGGAAAAAGUACAGGAAUGGAAGGCCAUCGAAGAAAGUAACAUUGGGGAUAAUGAUGGAGGCAAAUAUGAGGUCAUGCCCAUACUGAAGUUAAGCUACAAACACCUGUCCUCUGAAAUGAAACAAUGUUUUGCAUUCUGUGCAGUUUUUCGCAAGGAUUAUGAGAUGGAGAAGGAUAGGUUGAUCCAACUAUGGAUGGCAAACUGCUUUAUUCCAGAAGAGGGAACAAUGGAUUUAGUACAGAAAGGAGAAUUCAUUUUUGAUGAGUUGGUUUGGAGGUCCUUCCUCCAAGAUAAGAAAGUGGUAGUCAAAUCUGCAAUCCAUCAUGGUGACACACAAUAUAAGACAGUUGUAUGUAAAAUGCAUGACUUAAUGCAUGAUCUAGCAAAAGAUGUCACAGAAGAAUGUGCAAGUAUAGAAGGAUCGUCUCAGCAGAAAGCAUUGUUAAAAGGUGUUUGUCACAUGAAAAUGUCAAAGGCUGAAUUGGAACGAGUCAGUGGGUUAUGCAAAGGCAGAACAUACCUCCGCACUUUAUUAGCUCCAUCAGAAUCAUGGGAGGAUCAUAAUUAUAAUUUUCCAAGCAGAUCACACAAGGAUAUUAAGGAGUUGCAACAGGUAUUGGCAUCACUAAGAGCAUUGCAUUGCCCCCCUUCUCCAACUGUCAUUUGCAAGGCCAUAAAUGCAAAACAUUUACGAUAUCUUGACCUCUCUGGGUCUGACAUCGUGAGGUUGCCAGAUUCAAUAUGUGUGUUGUAUAACCUGCAAACACUGAGGCUCAUAGAUUGCAAGGAGUUGCAACAGUUACCAGAAGACAUGUCAAGAUUGAGAAAGCUCAUCCAUCUUUAUCUUUUUGGUUGUGAUAGGCUCAAAAGUAUGUCUCCAAACUUUGGUCUACUGAACAACCUUCACAUAUUAACAACAUUUGUAGUGGAUACCGGAGAUGGCCUUGGGAUAGAGCAGCUCAAAGAUUUACAAUGCCUUAGCAAUAGUUUGUAA
RNAcentral lists this ribosomal RNA (2133 nucleotides) under Triticum aestivum (bread wheat). RNAcentral describes it as "partial small subunit ribosomal RNA". Lineage: Eukaryota; Viridiplantae; Streptophyta; Magnoliopsida; Poales; Poaceae. The record is from RNAcentral.